UUUUUUUUAAAGUAUUUUAUUUUACUUCUUUAAAGAUCAUAGUAUCAAAAUCAAUUAAAAUGAAUUGGUUCAGGAUUGAAACACUAAAGUGCAACCCAAUAAGAACUCAUAAGUAGAUUCCAAGAUAAAUUUUCGAUACUAAGACAGAUGGAAUCCUUUUCAAUUAAUUUUCAGAAACAAAUGAUUUACUGAUGAAUAUAGAUGGAAAUCCAACUUUCAAAAGAAGAACAAAGUUUAAUACCACUUUACCUUUAGUAUUCAUUCUCUCAUCUUUAGAUGCGAAUUUACAUGAUUAAGUUCUAUAUGAUCUCUUACUCUGAAAUUUUUUUUCAAACUUUCUUUUCUUUUAUAAUAUCAAGAAUGUAGAGUGAUCCAGAAUUUUUCAAAAUUUAUAGCAAUCACUCUUUUUAAUCUUUUAAGAAUAAAUUAUAUUUCCUCUUAAUUUUUUUUAAAUAUGUAUGGAAAUAUUAAUCAGAAAAUAAUUCUUUUGAAGCUCAAAUUUCUUUCAAAAGUAAUUACAUUUUCUUUCCUAUAAGAAUUAUUGGAGUGAGUUAAAAUAUUUUAAGCUUUAGAAUCAUUAACUCUCUUCUUAAGAAUAGCUUUUCUUUUUAAUGAUAGAAGCAUUUAAUAAUGCAGGAGUGUAUAUUCAAAAUAUUAAUUUCUUAGUCAUAGUUUUUCAGCAAUGUAUAUAUAAAGCACGAUAAAUCUUUUUAAUAUUAAAAUAACAUCAUAUGUUUAGAAGCAUUUGUUCGUAAUCAAGAUCAUUAAAAAAUACAUCAUUUAGACCAAUUUCAGUACACUUAUAAGAUAAAAAAU
Molecule: long non-coding RNA, 816 nt
Filed under: Phoenix dactylifera (date palm)
Lineage: Eukaryota; Viridiplantae; Streptophyta; Magnoliopsida; Arecales; Arecaceae
Description: long non-coding RNA (PDAC_LNC017874)
Source: RNAcentral